RNAcentral lists this ribosomal RNA (1245 nucleotides) under metagenome. RNAcentral describes it as "bacterial LSU rRNA". It matches the Rfam family "Bacterial large subunit ribosomal RNA", at positions 1564 to 2818 of the family's 2925-position model. The record is from RNAcentral.
UGAAUACGAGACGCUAAGGCGUCGAAGUAGUGUAUGUCAUACUUCCAAGAAAAGCUUGCACUGUCAUAGAUAAAAAACGCCUGUACCAUAACCGACACAGGUGGGUAGGUAGAGUAUACUAAGGGGCGCGAGAUAACUCUCUCUAAGGAACUCGGCAAAAUAACUCCGUAACUUCGGGAGAAGGAGUGCCUUAUUCGUAAGGUUGCAAUAACAAGAUCCAAGCAACUGUUUAUCAAAAACACAGGUCUCCGCUAAGUCGUAAGACGAUGUAUGGGGGCUGACGCCUGCCCAGUGCCAGAAGGUUAAAGAAGUUGGUUAGCAAUUGCGAAGCUGAUAACUGAAGCCCUGGUGAACGGCGGCCGUAACAAUAACGGUCCUAAGGUAGCGAAAUUCCUUGUCGGGUAAGUUCCGACCUGCACGAAAGGCGUAAUGAUUUGGAUACUGUCUCGGAGAGGGGCUCGGUGAAAUAGACUUGUCUGUGAAGAUGCGGACUACCUGCACCAGGACAGAAAGACCCUAUGAAGCUUUACUGUAACUUGAAAUUGAAAUUGGACUUUAUUCGCGCAGUAUAGGUGGGAGGCGUUGAUUAUAAUCUUGUGGGAUUAUUGGAGCCAUCAGUGAGAUACCACUCUUGUAAUGUUAGAUUUCUAACUUUGAAUCAUUAUCUGGUCAAAGAACAGUUUCAGGCGGGCAGUUUGACUGGGGCGGUCGCCUCCUAAACGGUAACGGAGGCGUACAAAGGUUUCCUCUGAACGGUUAGAAAUCGUAUCUAGAGUGUAAAGGCAUAAGGAAGCUUGACUGUGAGACCUACAAGUCGAGCAGGGACGAAAGUCGGUCUUAGUGAUCUGACGGUACUGAGUGGAAAGGCCGUCACUCAACGGAUAAAAGUUACUCUAAGGAUAACAGGCUGAUCUCCCCCAAGAGUUCACAUCGACGGGGAGGUUUGGCACCUCGAUGUCGGCUCAUCGCAUCCUGGGGCGGUAGUACGUCCCAAGGGUUGGGCUGUUCGCCCAUGAAAGCGGUACGCGAGCUGGGUUCAGAACGUCGUGAGACAGUUCGGUCCAUAUCCGGUGUAGGCGUUAGAAUAUUGAGAGGAGCCUUCUUUAGUACGAGAGGACCGAGAAGGACAUACCUCUGGUGUACCAGUUAUCGUGCCAACGGUAAACGCUGGGUAGCUAUGUAUGGAGUGGAUAACCGCUGAAAGCAUCUAAGUGGGAAGCCCACCUCAAGAUAAGUAUUCUCAGC